AUUGAACGCUGGCGGCAUGCCUUACACAUGCAAGUCGAACGGCAGCACGGGAGCAAUCCUGGUGGCGAGUGGCGAACGGGUGAGUAAUAUAUCGGAACGUGCCCAGUCGUGGGGGAUAACGUAGCGAAAGCUACGCUAAUACCGCAUACGAUCUAUGGAUGAAANCGGGGGAUCUUCGGACCUCGCGCCAUUAGAUGAGCCUAGGUCGGAUUAGCUAGUUGGUGAGGUAAUGGCUCACCAAGGCGACGAUCCGUAACUGGUCUGAGAGGAUGAUCAGUCACACUGGAACUGGGACACGGUCCAGACUCCUACGGGAGGCAGCAGUGGGGAAUAUUGGACAAUGGGCGAAAGCCUGAUCCAGCCAUGCCGCGUGUGUGAAGAAGGUCUUCGGAUUGUAAAGCACUUUAAGUUGGGAGGAAGGGCAGUUACCUAAUACGUAUCUGUUUUGACGUUACCGACAGAAUAAGCACCGGCUAACUCUGUG
RNAcentral lists this ribosomal RNA (484 nucleotides) under uncultured bacterium. RNAcentral describes it as "bacterial SSU rRNA". It matches the Rfam family "Bacterial small subunit ribosomal RNA", at positions 30 to 507 of the family's 1533-position model. The record is from RNAcentral.